Molecule: ribosomal RNA, 493 nt
Filed under: uncultured bacterium
Lineage: Bacteria
Description: partial 16S ribosomal RNA
Rfam family: Bacterial small subunit ribosomal RNA
Source: RNAcentral
AUUGAACGCUGGCGGCAUGCUUUACACAUGCAAGUCGAACGGUAACAGGUUAAGCUGACGAGUGGCGAACGGGUGAGUAAUGCAUCGGAACGUGCCCGAUCGUGGGGGAUAACGCAGCGAAAGCUGCGCUAAUACCGCAUACGAUCUGAGGAUGAAAGCGGGGGACCGUAAGGCCUCGCGCGAUCGGAGCGGCCGAUGGCAGAUUAGGUAGUUGGUGGGGUAAAGGCCCACCAAGCCGACGAUCUGUAGCUGGUCUGAGAGGACGACCAGCCACACUGGGACUGAGACACGGCCCAGACGCCUACGGGAGGCAGCAGUGGGGGAUUUUGGACAAUGGGCGAAAGCCUGAUCCAGCAAUGCCGCGUGCAGGAAGAAGGCCUUCGGGUUGUAAACUGCUUUUGUACGGAGCGAAAAGGCUCUCUCUAAUACAGGGGGCUCAUGACGGUACCGUAAGAAUAAGCACCGGCUAACUACGUGCCAGCAGCCGCCGUAA